ACGAGCGCAACCCUCGCCUCAGUUGCCAGCAUCGGUUGGGCACUCUAGAGGGACUGCCGGCGACAAGUCGGAGGAAGGUGGGGAUGACGUCAAAUCAUCAUGCCCCUUAUGACCUGGGCUACACACGUGCUACAAUGGGCGGUACAAAGGGCUGCGAACCCGCGAGGGGGAGCGAAUCCCAAAAAGCCGCUCUCAGUUCGGAUUGCAGGCUGCAACUCGCCUGCAUGAAGCCGGAAUCGCUAGUAAUCGCGGAUCAGCAUGCCGCGGUGAAUACGUUCCCGGGCCUU
Molecule: ribosomal RNA, 287 nt
Filed under: uncultured Geobacillus sp.
Lineage: Bacteria; Bacillati; Bacillota; Bacilli; Caryophanales; Anoxybacillaceae
Description: partial 16S ribosomal RNA
Rfam family: Bacterial small subunit ribosomal RNA
Source: RNAcentral